RNAcentral lists this ribosomal RNA (217 nucleotides) under uncultured bacterium. RNAcentral's name for it is "partial 16S ribosomal RNA". It matches the Rfam family "Bacterial small subunit ribosomal RNA", at positions 524 to 739 of the family's 1533-position model. The record is from RNAcentral.
GACAGAGGGUGCAAACGUUGUUCGGAAUUACUGGGCGUAAAGCGCGUGUAGGCGGCCCUGCAAGUCGGAUGUGAAAUCCCACGGCUCAACCGUGGAAGUGCAUUCGAAACUGCAGGGCUAGAGUCCUGGAGAGGAAGGUGGAAUGCUUGGUGUAGAGGUGAAAUUCGUAGAUAUCAAGCGGAACACCGGUGGCGAAGGCGGCCUUCUGGGACAGUGA